CUGGGCUGGGUCAGUGUUCGAGUCUACACAUGCACUAACAGAUGUUCUUGUUAUUUCCAGACUUACCAAGCCUAGCUCACUCUCAGUUUAUUGCUCUGUGAAAGAAAGGUAAAAGGAAGAAAAAGGUGAUGGAGAAAAAGAAGGGCUUGCAAAGGAAGAGAAAGACGAAGAAAGCAGAGGCCAUGGCCAGAGGCUCUCUUCUGCUGAGCAAUGAAGAUAUGCCCUUCUUCUCCCCCACUUGUCUGGAUGGCCCAAGAAGACGCAGUCUGUUACUUCUCCCCUUGGCCUCACCUUCAGGACCAGGACGGAGAAAUUGGACUCAAUACCUCUUCUGUAGUCUUAGCUCUGGCGUCCAUCAGCAGCUACCAGGCGAAGUCAGAAGAAGACAUUGAAACCCCUGGAGUUGGAGGAUUUGAGCUGCCUGUUAUGUAUUCCGAACUCAGGUCAUCUGAAAGAGGAGCGAAUGCUCUUAACCACUGAACAAUCUCUCCAGCCCCCUGUGCUACUUAGCAAGACAGUGUUCUGUGAUGUUUUGUUUGUGUAAUCUGACAUGAAUUUGAGUGUCAGAUUAAGUACAUUUCUCUAUGGCCUGACAAAAUUAGAUGAGAAAUGUUAUAG
Long non-coding RNA from Mus musculus (house mouse), 618 nucleotides. RefSeq annotates it as predicted gene, 52297. The record is from RefSeq and is a predicted model, not a curated record. NCBI's taxonomy places the organism in Eukaryota, Metazoa, Chordata, Mammalia, Rodentia, Muridae. The transcript is spliced from 3 exons.